Long non-coding RNA from Peromyscus californicus insignis, 736 nucleotides. RefSeq lists it as uncharacterized. The transcript has 3 exons. Lineage: Eukaryota; Metazoa; Chordata; Mammalia; Rodentia; Cricetidae. The record is from RefSeq and is a predicted model, not a curated record.
GCUUGGCAGUACAUCCAUCCUUCAUGGGCAUUGGAACCUACUUCUUCAGGAUUCCAGCAUAUACAGAAGACCAGGUGGGACAUCCAGCCUUGUGGGACUGAGCAAUUACUGGAUUCUUGGACUUUCCAUUCACAGCUAGCCAUUGUUGGACUGCAGCCUGAGAAGUUAAUAGUUCUCACCGCUCAGUGACAAUGAGGACCGAGAACAGCGUUUGGCGAUUCCCAUUCUCUUUUGUUACAUGACCAGCACCCCCAAGGCUGUGGCUGUGGAGGCUUGCGAUCCAGAUCUGGAACCACCUGGGAGCUUAGUCAUUCACCUGCUCCUGACGCUGUGCUAACUGUCAGCCCGGGGACACCUCUACCGCUGCAGCCCACCUGAGCGUCUGUGCAGCCUGUCUCCAUGUGGCACCGGCUUAUCGUGGUGUCCUUGCACUCUCCAGCAAAUGUCCCCAGAGCAAGACUCACUUGAAACUCUAAGGACUUUGGCUUGAAGGCAUGUUUCCAUCACGGUCUAGUCAUUGUAGCAGUUAAAUCAGUCGCAAGGGGGAGGGAAACAGGUUUGAAAGCUUGUUGAGGAGGCACAGGGGUUCUGCUCCAGCCUUGAAAAAAUAAUAACAUGCCGUAGUGACACAUGAUGGGCACUGACUAUUUGAAAUCGCUUUUUAUCUUCAGAUGAGCUUGUAGUUAAGACUUACACAUCAUUAUAUUUAUAAUUCCAUAUUCAAAUAAUCCCUGUU